Molecule: ribosomal RNA, 468 nt
Filed under: uncultured bacterium
Lineage: Bacteria
Description: partial 16S ribosomal RNA
Rfam family: Bacterial small subunit ribosomal RNA
Source: RNAcentral
GACGAACGCUGGCGGCGUGCUUAACACAUGCAAGUCGAACGGAAAGGCCCUGCUUUUGUGGGGUGCUCGAGUGGCGAACGGGUGAGUAACACGUGAGUAACCUGCCCUUGACUUUGGGAUAACUUCAGGAAACUGGGGCUAAUACCGGAUAGGAGCUCCUGCUGCAUGGUGGGGGUUGGAAAGUUUCGGCGGUUGGGGAUGGACUCGCGGCUUAUCAGCUUGUUGGUUGGGUAGUGGCUUACCAAGGCUUUGACGGGUAGCCGGCCUGAGAGGGUGACCGGCCACAUUGGGACUGGGAUGCUGCCCAGACUCCUGCGGGAGGCAGCAGUGUGGAAUAUUGCGCAAUGGGCGGCAGCCUGAUGCAGCAACGCCGCGUGCGGGAUGACGGCCUUCGGGUUGUAAGCCGCUUUCGCCUGUGGCGAAGCGUGAGUGACGGUAAUGGGUAAAGAAGCACCGGCUAACUACGUG